CUUUAAAGCUAAUCAAUGGGCACAAAGCAUUUCGUGGUAAAUACGGUAGUUUCGUCUGUUGUUGUUUCCUGGGCUGCUCCACACGCGCACGCACCUCCUCUCCCCUCUCUGUUUUGGGCGCCUUUUGCGCGCGGGGGAGCCGCUCAGUCGGUAGGAGACUCCGGAAAGUCUUGCAUGCUGCCGACACAGCCCAGCCGGCGUUUGUCAGGAGGUCCAAGUUCAGGAUACGAUUAUCGUUUAUUUUAUUCGUUUCACGCAGACACCUUUCAGGUUAUAGUGAUCACGUCCGCCGGACUCGUGAGCGCGGCCACAGAAGACAGACGCCUGGAAUGACGCGAUGAAACUCCAGUGAGUCCUUGCUAAAGACUGGACAGCAUAUAAGACAUGAAGACAAAUCAUGACAUGCAGAUUAAAAAAUAUGAUUGACAGACACACCAGGACACACAACCUCCUGUAGAUGAAGCUGGAACUUCUUUUUCAGAGAGACAGAUUCCCUGGCUCCUCUUUCUACAUACCUGAUCUGCUUCUAUGUUAGUAUGUUACUAUCAGACUGCAAAUAUGGGAGCAACACCCAAAGGGAGCAGAACUGCAGGCUCCAGAGCUUGCCCAUGAAUCAGAACAAUGGGAAAUGGUCUGUCAGGAUGUUUUUUGACUCCAGUCACACAAACACGCCUGAACAUCUGGAUGUCAAGUGGGCUCCCAUGUUGUCAUUGACCAACCUGCGCAGCAUCUCCAGAGUCAGACUGUUCAGGUUCCUCCUGGGCUUGACACUGAUGUUCCUCAUCAUCAUGGGUUCCUAUAUCCUUCCGUGGGACAGGAAAGGACUUCUGUUCACCCCCACGCCCCUCCAGCUUAGAACUUUGGUUGUUCCGACGAGCACAGCAGCGGUUGAAGUUUCCCCUGAAAAUGAUUUAAUAGACACAAGACUGCUGGUGAAGAUCAUCCGGCACAAAUUGGAUUACGCACCCAGGAAGCUGCCUGAUGAAAAGGACGUCAUUGAAAUGGACUCCCAUUUGUUCUCUGUAAUUCCUCGCCAUUUCCUGCCAAGCCUCAAGAGCCCAUGCUGGUAUGAGGAGUUCUCUGGGGAAGCCAGCACUAAUCCGUACAGGGGGAACCACUUUACUCCUCGCUCAAAGAGUUUCAAAGCUGUGUGUGACCACCUGAGGAUCGAUUUCCACCACCACUUAUACCACAGAGACGGCAAGCAAUUUCGUGUGCGCUGCUUGCCAUACUUUUACAUAAUCGGCCAACCAAAGUGUGGCACUACGGACUUGUUUCAAAGACUGCUGCUGCAUCCAGAGGUCAAGUUCAACACCAUGAAGGAGCCGCACUGGUGGACCAGGAAACGCUUUGGUUUUAUCCAUUUCAAAGAUGGCUUUGUGGAAAGUUUUCCUGUGCAAGACUACCUGGAUCUGUUUGACUUAGCAGCCCACAACAUCCAAGCAGGAAGCAGUGGAAAUCCAUCUGGAGACCACAGCGCACUCCAGCUCAUAACAGGUGAAUCCAGUGCUUCCACUAUGUGGGACAACCAAGCCUGGAGCUAUCUUCACAGCAGCGAAGAGGAUACAGAGCCUGCGUUCCUGACCCAGGACUUUAUCCACACAGUCCAGCCUAGUGCAAAAAUCAUUGUCUUGCUUAGAGAUCCAGUGGAGAGGCUUUAUUCUGACUACCUGUAUUUUACGAUGGCCAACAAGUCAGCAGAAGACUUCCAUCUGAAGGUCGUAGAGUCUGUGCAGUUGUUUCAAUCUUGCCUGUCUGAGAUGACACUUCGUUUUUGCGCUUACGACACAAGCCUCUACUACGCGAUGCCGGUGAGGCUGACUUUAGGAAUGUACAUUGUCUUCUUAUUGGACUGGCUGACAGUUUUUCACCGUGAGCAGAUUCUAGUUCUGCGACUUGAAGACUAUGCAGCCAACCUUAAAGGGACAUUCAAGAAAGUUUUUGACUUUCUGAGUCUAGGUCCUCUGUCGGAGCAGGUUGAGGCAGCACUGACCAAAGGUCCCUCGUCUAACACUCGGCGGGCAGCAGACAGGAGCCUGGGUCCUAUGCUUCCAGCCACCAGAGAUCUGCUCAGGGAAUUUCAUCAGCCCUUCAACCACAAACUUGCCAGUGUGCUGGACAAAAAGGUUUUUCUCUGGAGUGACGGGGUGUGAGCAUGGACAAAAUGUGGGGUGUGAGCAUGGACAAAAUGUGGAUGGAUUGGAAUCAGAAUCAGAAUAAUUUUUAAUUACCACGUGACUGUGAUCAGGGAAUUUGCUUUUGGCGAUGCAUGGUGGGAAAGAUCAAUUCAACAGAGUCAAAAACUCCAAAUUUGUUCAGAUGUGAGCGUCAAUUUAGAAAUUCAACAUCACAUUAAAUAUUAGAAACAACUAGCACAGCAGCAGACAUUAUGUACCCGACUAACACAAAAGAAGUCAGAGAUGUGUCGAGACAAAAUUCACAAAAAGUUUUCAUCAGAAAGUGUUAGAGAGAAGGAAAAAAUAUGGUUUUAUAUAUAUAUUGGUGGGCAGGGACUGUUAGCACCUCCCAGAGAGCAUUAGCUGAAAGACGUGAAGGACAGAGUGAGGUGGGGGUCAGACAUUUUUUCUUUUGCUGUAGAGGAAAAAAACUGAUGGGAGGAGGGUGCCAGUAAUCUGGGAUUAUUUCUUUACUAUGUUCUGCAGUUGUUUGUGUUUUGGGUUUAGGGGAGUGGGACUGUGAGUGAAAUCUAUAGCAUUAGAAUGUAGAUGUGUUGAGUUGGAUGUUGUUGCCAAAGCACCAGUUGACUGCUAGGGCUACAGUACCUCCUCAAGCUAUUGGCCUUGGUUGUUAUUUUUUAGUCCAAUUAUGGUUGUGUCAUCUGCAUAUGUAAGAAUUGUGACUGAGCUGUGGAGGGAUGUCAAGUGGUUUGUGUAGAGGGAGAAGAGCCAGGGUGAGAGGACACAGACCUGGGUGACGCCUCUGCCGUGCGUCAGAGGUUGGGAUAAAAGGCUAUUUACCUCAAACCUCUGUUGACUACCCUACAGGAAGCUGCGGCUCCAGUAGCAUAUGCAGGGAUCAGUGUUCAUGUCUACCGGUUUACUGAAGAAAUUAAUUUUGGGUGACUCAAGUUGUCGUCCUAUGUGAACAACCAGAUCAAGAAGCUAAAGCAGGAAUGCCUAUUGAAAGAAACUAAUCUAGAGUGGAAGAACUCACACACAGGUGCAUAGUUGUAUAUGGAUUUAUAUAGAAUGUAUGGGCUUGGGUGUGUGAUAUAUAUGUGAGUGACUCAUCAAAAUCAAAUGACGAUUAAGUCAAAUGAACUUCGGUUUUAAUUUGAUUAUUUUGCAGUGUUGAUUGAACUUCUAAAUUGUUGAUUUUAUUUUCAUUGUGUUAUGCUCUGUGUGUAUGUGAGGGACAAUCAAGCAUCACAAAGAGGGAAGGCAUAAAGCCAGGAAGGGCUGACCAUACAUUCUAUGGGGCUGUGACAGUGGGUUUUGUUGUGUGCUGGGAGGCCUACAGUUUGAUCGUGUUACUUCAUGUCACUACGUGUUCCUAGUGUUACUGAGAAUAAUCAAAUAAUCAAGUUGUAUGAACCUGGAUCUAAAUAUUUGUUAAUAAAUCAAAGAAUCGCAAUGGCGUGGUGAACGUUAUUCUUGUCACUGCACUACUGAUGGCAAAGGCACGAGUCAUUUAAAAGUUUCACCGACAUGCAGGAAUAUAGUUACAGUCACUACAAAUUCAUAAAUCAACACCUCUUAAUAAAAUUUGAUUUGUUUGUGGCCCAAAAGGCUGUACUGAAUAUCAUGUGGGCUUGAUUCUUUGAUUUACGUUUGAAACAUCCCCAAACCCAUUUUUUUAUGUUGAAGUCAAUAGCUCUCACAUGGAUGUUAUACAUGUAAUAAUGGUUUUUACUUGUUUGUUCAGUAGGUUGGCCUGAGGAAAUUUAUCAGUGGACAAUGUUUUGUUUUGUUGUUGAAUGUUUUGAAAGCCAAGAUAUUUCAAUACCAGCAAUUUGAGUGUUGAAACCUCAUAAACCUCAGCCUGUACAAACUCAAAGAAGAUAGUUAUAAUUCUAGUAGAUAUCCUCAAGUGGGGCUUAAUCACUUGAUUUUUCGAAAGGAAAUUAAGGUUUUAUUUAUAACUUUUGUGUGAAAGUAUGUGUUGUGGAUCCUAAGGUGUGGCAACAAUCGCUCCAGGGUGUCGGGUCAGGACACUAGAGUUGUGUUCAGGUGAGAGUGCAGAUGAAAGAUGGAGGCGAAAGCAGUUGUAGAGUUCAGACUAUUUAUCUAGAUGCAGUCCAGCAUGCCAAAUACAAGGUCAUCACAUUUUCAGGUACAAUCUGAAGGAAGGGGGCUCAAAGUCCCGGUAUAAUCCAAAGGAAGGGAGUCUUGAUGUUCUAACUGAGUCUGAAGAGGAUUCACCGCCUAUUUAUACAGAUCCUUUGAUCUUAGGAGUGGGUUUUUUCUAGAUCACAGGAGGGUGAAUGUCUGUGAUUUUUUGAUCUUAGGAGUGGGUUUGUUCUAGAUCACAGGAGGGUGAAUGUCUGUGAUUUUUUGAUCUUAGGAGUGGGUUUGUUCUAGAUCACAGGAGGGUGAAUGCCUCUGAUACUUUGUUGGUUACAUCAACGGAAUUGCUACUUAACGACUAAAGAGAACAGGAGUGAACGCUCAUAAACACCUAAAUCUGACAAGUAAAAUGCAUAACUCGGAAAUACUAUAACAUCUAAAGAACAGAACAGUACAUAGUGGUAUGGCCUUUUUUAUAACUUUUUUAGCAUUUAAUAAGACAGACAGUUAAUGAAUUAACUGGGAAUAUUAUUGACAGGAAAAGCCCUACUGCCCUGCUUCAAGCAACUGGAUCCUGAAGUCUAGUCAAGUCAAGUAGACUUGAUUGUUGGCUGGCUUGUUGGCUUGAGCCAGAGCCUAUGCAGUAGUGACCAUGGAGUGGAGCCAAAAUGACAUGCACUCCACCAGACUUGAGUCAGUCUCGGCUGUCAAUCAAGACAUUUCAACCUAUUUUUAUAGCAUUAAAUAACUGAUUAAAAUCAAAUUACCGGAAAAAGGAACACUUGAACAUCAGUGUGAUAGGAACUACAUUCAAAUGACAGAAACCAUCUUUGAGAAAAAUGUAUUUAAUGUGUACUUUGACAGUUAAGUUUGGUCAAUUUCCCACGCUAACUUGGAGGAGACCGCGCUUACUACCUAUGCUGCCACCAGCAACCAGGGUUCAAUCCAGGUGUUAUGUCAUCCAUCUUAAUCAUAGACUGUAUAUAAAAAUAGAUGUAGUCGCCAGGUCCUGAAAGGAGCUAUGGUUGCAGCCAUGUUGUAGGGCCACAAUGUGAUAAGAGAUCGCAACAUAAUUGGUUGCAGAGAAGAUUGUUAUUUCCGAUUCCUCUGACAGUUGAACAUAUUUAAAAUGUGAGAGAAGAAGAGGUACCUAAGUCGAUGCUAUGAAGUUAUAGCAAUUCUUUUUUAAACCAAUAUAUUCUUCAGGUCAUAAAACAAUUGUCGCUUGAUGUUCACUUUAGUCUGCACCAAGAAUGAACCCCUAAAUAUGACCCUAACUCUAACCUGAUUAAAGUUAAUUGUCCGUCAUCUUUAUAAUUUCAGGAGGAUUGUGACCAUUCGGAUGCACAAGUGGUGAUUCAAUGGUUGACCUCAGUCAGGACCACCCACCGCUCCUCCAAAUAUGGUUACUUCUAGUUUAAAAAAAACAGGAUGGCGCUGGCCAAAAUGCCAAACUCGACGCUGCCAUUCUAUAUUCAGUCUAUGAUACAAAUGUGCCUUCUGUGGGUUGCCUUUGUCUUGCCUUAUAGUUAACAAAUCAGAUCAGGUUCAAACUCUCCCAUACAGUGCAUAUCUUCAUUUUUCUCUCUCUCCUUAUUAGUGAGGAAUAUGUCUAAUAGACCAGGGAAAAGGGAUGUGGAACUGGAUAAUUCACAGCAGCUGUCCUAAUUCAGGGGCCGUCUCCUUCGAAGGACGUAGACCCCGAGGACCAAACCAAAAUGAGACUAUUGGCGGAUUUCCCAUCUACCGUCACCAGAGUGUUCUGCCCUUACCGCUGUCGCCUUCUACUAGUCAGCUGCAUUGUUCCACAGAAGUAGAAAGCUGAGAAGGGAUGGAGCCGGAAACUUUGGGCUAGAUUUCUCCUUUUAGAUUCCCUCAGUGGUUGAGGGUAUUGGAACUGGGAUGAGAAAAGACAAAUAUGGUCCUUGAGCGACAGUCACAUCCUGUUGCGUUCGAACGUCACACUGCCCUCAUCUCAUUGUGCAACUCAGCAUUAGAAGAUAUUUUGUUGUUGUUUAUUCCUACCAGGGCAUGAAACGGUAAGCAUUAUCUGCUGAAAUAUAGCACAACUCUGAGUGGUAUGUUUGCUUUCUUCUUUACCUUUAACCUUUAUCUGAGCUCUUACUGACAUUAAAAAUAGGAUAUGUCCUCUGUG
Molecule: RNA transcript, 6402 nt
Organism: Scophthalmus maximus (turbot)
Lineage: Eukaryota; Metazoa; Chordata; Actinopteri; Pleuronectiformes; Scophthalmidae
Gene name: carbohydrate sulfotransferase 15
Exons: 11
Source: RefSeq, a predicted model, not a curated record